CCCUCUGAUUUGGUUGAAGUGACACCUCGAUCUGAUCCAGCAAUUGAGUCUUCACACCAUGCCCCUGGGCAUAUGAUACACGUGUAAGAAAAAAGCAGGAGGAGGAAAUGAAAAGAAUGUCCUGUAAAGUGAACAUGAAAAUACGUUGAAAAGAAACUCUGGAGAGAGCUAGUGAACAGUAUAAGGCAAGCAUAGUAACUGAAAAGUGUGUGAUUCUAUGGCUCUGCUGGUACGUAUUCUCAGCCUGUAGAACCCUCUUCCUGGGAUGGCCUGGUGCAUGCCAUCAAGCAUUCUUACAGCUAACCUUCAGCGUGAGUUUAUGUGAGGGCCAACAGAGCUGCACACAAAGGCUGGAAAAGAAUUUGAGGAAGAGGCCACUGUCUAUUUUGUGACACAAGGAGAAAGUGUUUUCUGCAUUUUUCUAAAUGAAGAUUAGUCACUCAUUGAUUUUCACAUUACUUUGGACGAGGUUGCUGGCAUUAUACCUGAUUGGUUCAUUCUUCCUUUCCUGUCCAGUACAUCUUCAAGAAAGCCAAAAUGUACUGUUUGCCACGUGGCCAGAUGGAUUUGGAUAUGCAAACUCCUCUAAUUCCCUAACUUACAGAACAUUGAUGACAUUUUUCACACAUUGAGGUAUGUGAGUCAGACCUUACAUUUCGAAGGGUUGGGAUGGCUAAAAAGGUUGUGCUGGAG
This 693-nucleotide long non-coding RNA is filed under the name Struthio camelus australis. Its description in RNAcentral is "lncRNA (ENSSCUG00000002720.1)". The record is from RNAcentral. Lineage: Eukaryota; Metazoa; Chordata; Aves; Struthioniformes; Struthionidae.